RNAcentral lists this ribosomal RNA (504 nucleotides) under uncultured bacterium. RNAcentral's name for it is "partial 16S ribosomal RNA". It matches the Rfam family "Bacterial small subunit ribosomal RNA", at positions 30 to 523 of the family's 1533-position model. The record is from RNAcentral.
AUUGAACGCUGGCGGCAGGCCUAACACAUGCAAGUCGAACGGUAGCACAGAGAGCUUGCUCUCGGGUGACGAGUGGCGGACGGGUGAGUAACGUCUGGGAAACUGCCCGAUGGAGGGGGAUAACUACUGGAAACGGUAGCUAAUACCGCAUAACGUCGCAAGACCAAAGUGGGGGACCUUCGGGCCUCACACCAUCGGAUGUGCCCAGAUGGGAUUAGCUAGUAGGUGGGGUAAUGGCUCACCUAGGCGACGAUCCCUAGCUGGUCUGAGAGGAUGACCAGCCACACUGGAACUGAGACACGGUCCAGACUCCUACGGGAGGCAGCAGUGGGGAAUAUUGCACAAUGGGCGCAAGCCUGAUGCAGCCAUGCCGCGUGUAUGAAGAAGGCCUUCGGGUUGUAAAGUACUUUCAGCGGGGAGGAAGGCGGUGAAGUUAAUAACUUCACCGAUUGACGUUACCCGCAGAAGAAGCCACGGCUAACUCUGUGCCAGCAGCCGCAGUAA